This 381-nucleotide ribosomal RNA is filed under the name uncultured eukaryote. RNAcentral describes it as "partial 18S ribosomal RNA". It matches the Rfam family "Eukaryotic small subunit ribosomal RNA", at positions 592 to 975 of the family's 1831-position model. The record is from RNAcentral.
CAAUAGCGUAUAUUAAAGUUGUUGCAGUUAAAAAGCUCGUAGUUGGAUUUCUGGUUGAAGCGACCGGUCGGGCGUUGAUUCGUCUGCACUGGAGUCGGUUUUGGCCAUCCUCUAGGAAAGUGCGUCUGGUAUUAAGUUAUCGGGCGUAUGAUCCUGGUCUUUUACUGUGAAAAAAUUAGAGUGUUUAAAGCAGGCCUUAGCCUUGAAUACAUUAGCAUGGAAUAAUAAGAUAGGACUUUGGUCUAUUUUGUUGGUUUGCAGACCGAAGUAAUGAUUAAUAGGGAUAGUUGGGGGUAUUUAUAUUCCGAUGUCAGAGGUGAAAUUCUUAGAUUUUCGGAAGAUAAACUUAUGCGAAAGCAUUUACCAAGGAUGUUUNCAUUA